Molecule: ribosomal RNA, 387 nt
Filed under: uncultured bacterium
Lineage: Bacteria
Description: bacterial SSU rRNA
Rfam family: Bacterial small subunit ribosomal RNA
Source: RNAcentral
CUGGGUUUGACAUGCACGUAGUAGUGAAGUGAAAGCGGAACGACCCUUCGGGGAGCGUGCACAGGUGCUGCAUGGCUGUCGUCAGCUCGUGUCGUGAGAUGUUGGGUUAAGUCCCGCAACGAGCGCAACCCUCGCCGUUAGUUACAAGUGUCUAACGGGACUGCUGGUAUCAAACCGGAGGAAGGUGGGGAUGACGUCAAGUCAGCAUGGCCUUUAUGUCCAGGGCUACACACACGCUACAAUGGUCGGUACAAUGGGCAGCCAAACCGCGAGGUGGAGCGAAUCCUUAAAGCCGGCCUCAGUUCAGAUUGCAGUCUGCAACUCGACUGCAUGAAGGCGGAGUUGCUAGUAACCGCGCGUCAGCCAUAGUGCGGUGAAUACGUUCCC